This 253-nucleotide ribosomal RNA is filed under the name uncultured Pseudomonadota bacterium. Its description in RNAcentral is "uncultured proteobacterium partial 16S ribosomal RNA". It matches the Rfam family "Bacterial small subunit ribosomal RNA", at positions 524 to 776 of the family's 1533-position model. The record is from RNAcentral. Lineage: Bacteria; Pseudomonadati; Pseudomonadota.
UACGAAGGGAGCUAGCGUUGUUCGGAAUUACUGGGCGUAAAGGGCGCGUAGGCGGCCUUGUAAGUCAGAUGUGAAAGCCCCGGGCUUAACCUGGGAACUGCAUUUGAUACUGCAAGGCUAGAGAAUGUGAGAGGUAAGUGGAAUUAUGAGUGUAGAGGUGAAAUUCGUAGAUAUUCAUAAGAACAUCAGUGGCGAAGGCGGCUUACUGGCACAUUACUGACGCUAAGGCGCGAAAGCGUGGGGAGCAAACAGG